UCGAAAGGAGCAUGAAAGGAAAGAGAUAGAAGUGAAGGAUAAAGAUAUGCAGGAAAUGAAGGGGAAGUGCGAUAGUAGUGGUAGCAAUGGAGAUGUUAAGAAGAAGAGGUAUAUUUUCACAUGGUCUCAACAGGUUCCUUUUCUUGCCUCUCUCCGCAACUGCUCAUUUAGCCUCAAGGACCGUGAUAUUAUCAUUUCCUUCUCUAGAAUUUUGCUUUUGGUUUCUUUUUCAAAAUUUGAUUAAAUGGGACUCAUACGUAGGAGGAUGAUAUACUGCGUGACCAGAUUACAAUUCACGGAACAGACAACUGGGUGAUUAUCACGUCUUUGUUCAAGGACAAGGCGAGGUGAUUCAGGAGAAGACGGUAUACAUACUUGAAUUCUGAUCUCAAAACGGGUGGAUGGUCGCCUGCAAUUGUACCAUGAAUAUAGAGAAAAGCAAGACAUACAGAGUACCCUACGAGCUUCACGAAAUUUACUGAUUCAAUUCGCUCAAGAAGUCAGUUCAGUCUGCAAGCACAACAUUGAGCUGAUUACAGAAAGAGAGCGGUGGUCCCUUUAGCCGGAGCCUCUUCACAGCGAUUGCCAUGCCCUCAUUUGGUUUAGCCGUGUUCAUGGUGUGAUCGCCAAAACCACCGUCUCCGAUGAAGUUGUUGCCACUGAACUUGUUCGUGGCAUCCUUCAACACGUCAUAGCAAAAGCAGUGAAGCCAAUAUAGAUGGAACACCUCAUCCUUCUUGUUCAAUGGGCAAUCAUCAUGUCGUUGCCAACCUCGUGAAUAGGCAUACCAAUUUCC
This is a long non-coding RNA of Eucalyptus grandis, 796 nucleotides long. RefSeq lists it as uncharacterized. Lineage: Eukaryota; Viridiplantae; Streptophyta; Magnoliopsida; Myrtales; Myrtaceae. The transcript is spliced from 5 exons. The record is from RefSeq and is a predicted model, not a curated record.